AUGCAUUACGGAUGGGUUGAUGUGCUCCAUCCAUUAAUUUUGGAGGACUUCUGCCCGAGCUUGGGGCAUUCGUUCCGUAAGAAUGACACUGAAUCCACCGAGGAUGAUACUGGAUCCGAUGAGGACAUGGUUGAAUUGUUUGCUGAGGUUAUUUCUGGAGGCAACUGGCUGGUCGUUAUUAACGGUCUGCAGUCCAUGGAGGAAUGGCAGUUGAUUAAAAGUAUAUUCCCGUCGGAAUGCUCUAAAGGUCAUAUAAUUAUCAUAACAAAUGACGAAAGUGUGGCCACAGGUUGCGUGGAUCAUGAAUAUCAGGUGCUCAACGUCAACGACGUGGCCCUUCCUCCUUCCAUGCAGGCCUCUGACUACUACGGAUAUGGAGAUUACAAGGACGCUGCUCGAAGUAUGUUUCUCUCCAACAGAAUUGAAAUUCCACAUGACGUGAAGUCUCAACAUGAGGUGCGUUGGACGUUGGAACAAAUUAUGUACCGUCCUGGGGUCACCUCGGUAUGGGGCAUUGCUGGUGUUGGCAAAUCAACUCUCGUCAGAGAAUGUUACGACCAUUUCCGUGAGAAGCUGAUAACUCACGACAUUCAAAGAUCUGCAUGGGUCGAUGUGCCUGACCCGUUUAAUUUGGUGGAAUUUUCUCGCCUCUUACUCCUGGAUUUCCACCGCCCUGAUCUUGAAGCGAUGGAAGCUGCCGCAAUUGGUAUUAUGCAGGGUCAGGACCCAAUUCAAGUGUGUCGUAAAAUCCUGGGUCAAGGCAGAAACCUCGUUAUUAUUGAUGGUCUGCGGUCCACAUAUGACUGGGACUUGAUCACAACUGCCCUUUUGUCCCAGCCUACUACAAAGACAAAAAUAGUUAUCAUCACAACUGAAGAAAGCAUCGCCGAACAUGGUGCCCAGCAGCAGGUACAUAAUAUGAUCAAUAUCAAAUGUCUAGAAGAUGACGAGGCCUAUGAUUUCUUCAAAAAGAUUAUUAACCCUGAGUUGCUGGCUCAUCUAAACGGAAAGGUGGACCUUGCAAAACUUGUUGCAAAAUGUGGUGGGCUUCCCAAAGUAGUGUCUGCUAUGGGCAAACCCUUAAAUUGGUUAUUCUGGGAGGAUAUGAAUGAUGACUUUAUGCUCAAAUUGGAGACCGACCCUCAGUUCCAUAGUUUGAGAGGUCUAUUGUCUUGGAUGCAUUCCUAUUUUGAUUCUUGUUCAGAUUUGGUAAAGCCAUGUAUCCUCUACCUGUCUGUCUUCCCUGCAAGCAGCAAAAUCAGGCGAGGCCGUUUAGUGAGGAGAUGGAUCGCCGAGGGCUACUCAAGGGACACACUUGGUUGUACUGCAAGGGAGAAUGCGCAAAAUCGCUUGUCUGAGCUUGUUAAAUUGAGCAUAAUCCAGCAAGUAACAAACAAUAAUAUCUGUCAAGUCAAUGGUUUCUUCCGUGAAUACAUCGUUUCACGGCCAAUGGAGGAUAAUCUUGUUUUUGCCUUGGAUGGGCGUUGCAGUCCAAACACACAACCCACAGGGCAACACCUGACCAUAAUGACUAACUGGCAGAGGGACAAAAAUGUGUUUGAGGGCAUCGACUUUGCACGGCUGCGGUCUUUGACAAUUUUUGGGGCAUGGUGUUCCUUCUUUAUCUCUAUUAAGAUGAAACGGCUUCGAGUGCUCGACCUGGAAGACAUGAUAGCAAUAAAAGAUGAUGAUAUUGAGCAGAUAUUUUUGAAUCUGUUGAGCCUUAAGUUCAUCUCCCUACGAGGAUGCAGGAACAUCAGUCGUCUGCCGGAUACAUUGGGAGGGUUGAGGCAGCUACAGACUCUUGAUGUAAGAUUCACCUCCAUAGUCAUGUUGCCAUCUUCCAUUAUCAAGCUACAGAAGCUGCAAUAUAUCCAUGCUGGCACCGUUGUAUUGCCAGAUGAUGAUUGGACAUCCGCGUCAUCAGAAGACGGUGAUGGGGUCACAAGCCAACUACCAACUGCAACAUCAGCUGAACUAGAAGGCCGUGAUAGCAGCAUAUCUUCAGGCUGGCCAAUAGUACAGCCAUCUCCUGAAAUUUGCAUUACCGAAAGCUCAGCACAGGCAGCAACAUCAUCAGAAGCCCAACACUGCUCGAUGCUACCAAAGGUGGGAUGGGCAUCCAAACAGUCACGCACUUCAGUAGUACCUCGGUUGCCCAAGUUUGCACCUAUUACGUGGAGCUUGUGUGGGUCCAGGAGAGAUAGAAAAACUUGCAGUGUCAAGGUUCCGGUGGGGAUUGAAAAACUUGUGGCCUUACAUACUCUUGGUGUGGUGAAUGUCAAUGCAGCAGGUGGGGAGGCCUUUCUAAAGCAGCUCGCAAAACUAACCCAAUUGCUCAAGCUCAGAGUGUGCGGCAUAAAUAAGAAAAACUGGCAGCUGCUGUGUUCUGCACUCUCGGAUAAGAAUUGCCAUCUGGAAUCCUUGUCUGUGCGAUUUGAUGAAGAUUGCCUGGACGAUAGCUUCAAGCCACCUGAGACCCUGAAGAGCCUUAAGUUGUACGGGCCUAUAAGGAAACUGCCAGACACUAUCAAGGGUCUUCUAAAUAUCAGAAAGGUGGAUCUUGAUAUGACUAUUACAAGGCCAUUCGACAUGCACUUAUUCUUGAAAGACAAAUUGCCACUUUAUGGUAUCCUAAAUCGUCUCUGCAUCAAGGUGCAAGGAGACCAUAAGAUAGAUUUUAGCGAGGCUGAAUUCAACUACCUCGACAGGGUUGUUAAUGUUGUACCUCGGGUCCUCAAGAUGGAUUGCAGCUCCCAGUUAGAGGUAUCUUUGGAUUAUCAUUACAUUUCCCGUGGUGUUUUGGUGCUGAUAAUCCAGUGCUCCAAAGGAUCAUUUUUCCGGGUUUCUGGGAUCUUUGGGUUAAGCUCUUUGCCCCAUCUCAAGACAGUCUGGCUUAAGGGUUCCUACAGCGAGGAACAACAGGCGCACCUGCAGGAACUUGUUGACGGUCAUGAUAAGAAGCCAGUCUUGAAGCUGGAGCCACUGCAAUAG
RNAcentral lists this ribosomal RNA (2994 nucleotides) under Triticum aestivum (bread wheat). Its description in RNAcentral is "partial small subunit ribosomal RNA". The record is from RNAcentral. Lineage: Eukaryota; Viridiplantae; Streptophyta; Magnoliopsida; Poales; Poaceae.